GAUCAUGGCUCAGGACGAACGCUGGCGGCGUGCUUAACACAUGCAAGUCGAACGCUGAAGCUCAGCUUGCUGGGUGGAUGAGUGGCGAACGGGUGAGUAACACGUGAGUAACCUGCCCUCUUCUUUGGGAUAACGCCCGGAAACGGGUGCUAAUACUGGAUAUUCACUGAUCUUCGCAUGGGGGUUGGUGGAAAGGUUUUUUCUGGUGGGGGAUGGGCUCGCGGCCUAUCAUCUUGUUGGUGGGG
Molecule: ribosomal RNA, 245 nt
Filed under: uncultured bacterium
Lineage: Bacteria
Description: partial 16S ribosomal RNA
Rfam family: Bacterial small subunit ribosomal RNA
Source: RNAcentral